Molecule: ribosomal RNA, 411 nt
Filed under: Variovorax sp. Z4_23_2
Lineage: Bacteria; Pseudomonadati; Pseudomonadota; Betaproteobacteria; Burkholderiales; Comamonadaceae
Description: bacterial SSU rRNA
Rfam family: Bacterial small subunit ribosomal RNA
Source: RNAcentral
CGGAAUUCGCCAGAGAUGGCUUAGUGCUCGAAAGAGAACCGUAACACAGGUGCUGCAUGGCUGUCGUCAGCUCGUGUCGUGAGAUGUUGGGUUAAGUCCCGCAACGAGCGCAACCCUUGUCAUUAGUUGCUACAUUUAGUUGGGCACUCUAAUGAGACUGCCGGUGACAAACCGGAGGAAGGUGGGGAUGACGUCAAGUCCUCAUGGCCCUUAUAGGUGGGGCUACACACGUCAUACAAUGGCUGGUACAAAGGGUUGCCAACCCGCGAGGGGGAGCUAAUCCCAUAAAACCAGUCGUAGUCCGGAUCGCAGUCUGCAACUCGACUGCGUGAAGUCGGAAUCGCUAGUAAUCGUGGAUCAGAAUGUCACGGUGAAUACGUUCCCGGGUCUUGUACACACCGCCCGUCACAC